UUUCCGUAGGUGAACCUGCGGAGGGAUCAUUAUUGUAUAAACAAGUUCCGAACGCUUGCGCUCACCCGAAUUGUCGUGCACGCCCGAGUGCCCUCACCCGCAUCCAUCUCACCGCUAUCUGCACCACCGCUUAAGUCCGCCUCUGUCUGUAUCGUAUGAGGACUUACGUUUUCACACAAAAUUUUUAUACAAUGGAGAAUUUAUUUUUGGUUUUUACGAACAACCAAUCAAAACAACUUACAACAACGGAGCUCUUCGCUCUCACGUCGGUGAAGAACG
RNAcentral lists this unclassified non-coding RNA (279 nucleotides) under plant metagenome. RNAcentral's name for it is "partial contains small subunit ribosomal RNA, internal transcribed spacer 1, and 5.8S ribosomal RNA". The record is from RNAcentral.